Echinops telfairi (small Madagascar hedgehog) is the source of this 2481-nucleotide long non-coding RNA. RefSeq lists it as uncharacterized. Lineage: Eukaryota; Metazoa; Chordata; Mammalia; Afrosoricida; Tenrecidae. The transcript has 2 exons. The record is from RefSeq and is a predicted model, not a curated record.
UGGUUGUUGGGUUCAAACCACUGACUACCAAGGCCUGCGCCAGAUCACCACCAGGCCUCCUUACAAUAGAGGAUAGUCUCAGGAAUCAAAUGAAACAUGGAAUUUUUGGUUCUUCAGGAAAAGUAGACAACUUAUUUUCAUUUGGGAACAUUAAACUUCAUACUGUUUGUAUUCAAUGAAAUGAAAGUUCAUCGAAUUACCAAUUGAACUUUACACCUUCUACUUGUUAUGGCUACUUGUAAAACCUAAUUUGCUUGAGCAUUUUGAUGUGUUCUCGUUGGUAUUAUCAGGUAGAUGUGGGAGACUCUGCUCAGACCAUGGGGAAGUGAGAGGGUGGGAGCCCAACCUUGGGAUCAAGACUCAUCUAAGCCACUUUGUUCUAUUGAGUAGGGUCAGCUUGGCUGAUCUCUGGAGCCCAAAGAGUCUCUGCCUGUUGUUGUUGUUGUUGUUGUUUUCCUUCAGGCCCUGCAUCUUAAUUUAUUUCUGUUUCCAUCUUUCCUGUCCCUUCAAUGACAAAAAGAAUGGUGGUGGUUUGCUUGUGGGUUGAUACUGUAUGACUGAGUUGUUCUAGUCUGUCCUUCUAUGGAGAAGCCCUAGGGGCGGAAUGGAUCAUGAGUGGCCUGCUGACCAGGCACGCCAAGCGAGAAAGAGUGAUCAUCUUGGAAAUCCACAGGGGCAGUUCUACGCUAUCCUGUAGGGUUGUUAUGAGUCAGAAAUUGACUUGAUUUCAGUACAUACAUUUUUCCAGGGUCAGGUUGUCAGGUCUUUCUUUUGGAUAAUGCGUAUGUAAUUGAACUACCAACCUUACUAAAGAAAUGGCAAUUUGGGCUGAGGGGUGGUAGUUGGAGUUAGACCUAUAGAUUGAGUUCUUCCUAAGUGCCAUAUAUUUUUAAUGUGCUCCUGCAUUUAAUUUUAUAACACACUACCAGACAUAUAUACUCAUUUCCAUUUUAAAGAUAAAAUUUUCAGACUCAGAGAGGUUAUGUUAUAUGCCUAAAGUUCAAUGAUUGAUGGAGUUGUUUUCCAACACAGGCACACAAGUUAGACUUUGAAUUUUCUUGUUUUUCUGCUAAGCCUAAUCAGUACUAGAAUCUGCUCUCUCCUCGCCCUCUGCUGACGCUCCACUCUAUUAUAACUGAAUUGUCUACCCAUUGAUGCUCAUGCAAAACAAAGGUGGGAAGGUGCGUGGAAGCAUCCCCACAAAUAUAUGCAGGUUUGGCAGAAUAUAUAUAAGUUCAUGUCUUUCUGAGUAGGGGGUGGGUGUUCUCUGAGAUGGUGAAGCCAACACAGCAUUCUCAGUUCUCACACUCCUUCACUUCUCUACCACACUUUACCACAGGACAAGCUAACCCCCACUCCCUUCUUAAAUGGCAUACCUUUAAUUGUACUGAAGUCAUUCACCAUGAUUAACUGACAGAUUCAAUGCAGUGGAAAUCUAUAUUUAAAAAUCUGGAAACCCAAGCUCCAUUUUUCAAGUUUAUGUCUUUUGACACCGGUAUACAGUGACUUCACAUGCAACCAUCUUCCUCUUUCCUAUGAUAUGGCGUAAAGGCUGCUGAUCUUAACGACCUUAUUAGCAACGUACUUCUGGCAUUUGCUAACAUGAGCCGUCUGCUUUUGGGUGCUGUACUGGGUCACCAUUUUAUUGGUGUAAUGGUCUUUUUUGAUCCCUUUAUAUUCUGGAAUUGUUCAAAUAUUUUUUUGCUUUUUAUUUCCUAAUUUGGCCUGACUCGUGAUUUAUUUGCUUAUUCAACACAUUUGUUAUUGAGGGUCUGCCAUGUGCCAUGGAUGUUCUAGGGACGGUAAAUGCAGCUCUGCCAAAAACAGAUGAGGAUCUCUGCCCUCGUGGAGUUUACCUUCCAAAGGAGGGCAGUAAACAUUAAAUGAAAUAUAUGCCAUGCCAGAUGGCGAUGAGACUUCUGGAGAAAAAGAAAGCCCACUUGGGGGGGUGGACAGUGCUGGAGGAAAGGGUUAUAGUUUUAAAUAAGGGUGCACUUUUGGUUUUGCUUUUUAAAUCAAGGCAUAAGGGUAGACAUGACAUGGUUUUUUAUCACCUGUAUUGGGAGGCAUAAUUGUAAAAAGAAGCUUUGCUGGCAGGACAUUUUGAAUAAGAGGUUUGUGGGGAAGGGUUAGCAAUUUCAUAAGGUUUUUCUUUACAUUGUUUAUCAGCUAGAGCUCAUACACAUGGCUGAAGAAAAGGAAUACAUCGUUCACCUGAAAUGCGGACGUGAAACCAAGGUUACCAAGACGUUUGUUCAGAAAGCACUGGUUACAACUCCAAGCUGCCUGACCCAAACUCCUGCCUUAGAUCGCUUAGCUGCCAUCUCAGAGGAGAACGGCAUUGAAAGCGUGUGUGCGCGUGCCCAGCAGUGCUUGGCAGUUAAUCUGCCAGAGAGAGCAUUUUCACUAAUGAAUGAGUCCAAGGCUUUUUUCCCCCUUCCUUUAACUAACCAGUUCUUAUUAUAAUAAGUUUAGAAAUUA